GAACGCUGGCGGCGUGCCUAACACAUGCAAGUCGAGCGGAGUCGAUCGACGGAAGCCUUCGGGCGGAAGAUGGUUGACUUAGCGGCGGAUGGGUGAGUAACGCGUGGGCAACCUGCCUCGAAGACCGGGAUAACAGCCCGAAAGGGCUGCUAAUACCGGAUGUGGUCAAGGAUCCGCAUGGAUUUUGAUUAAAGGGGAAACCCGUUUCGAGAUGGGCCCGCGUCCUAUCAGCUAGUUGGUGAGGUAAAAGCUCACCAAGGCGACGACGGGUAGCCGGCCUGAGAGGGUGACCGGCCACACUGGAACUGAGACACGGUCCAGACUCCUACGGGGGGCAGCAGUGGGGAAUCUUCCACAAUGGGCGAAAGCCUGAUGGAGCGACGCCGCGUGAGCGAAGAAGGCCUUCGGGUUGUAAAGCUCUGUCUGGAGGGACGAAGGAAGUGACGGUACCUCCGGAGGAAGCCACGGCUAACUACGUG
This 479-nucleotide ribosomal RNA is filed under the name uncultured bacterium. RNAcentral describes it as "bacterial SSU rRNA". It matches the Rfam family "Bacterial small subunit ribosomal RNA", at positions 31 to 507 of the family's 1533-position model. The record is from RNAcentral.